CGUAGCUCAGCUGGAUAGAGCGCUGCCCUCCGAAGGCAGAGGUAAAGCCCCAAAAUUGCGCUCAAUCUCUUCGUAAACCA
Molecule: transfer RNA, 80 nt
Filed under: Sphingopyxis sp. SE2
Lineage: Bacteria; Pseudomonadati; Pseudomonadota; Alphaproteobacteria; Sphingomonadales; Sphingopyxidaceae
Description: tRNA-Arg
Source: RNAcentral